UGUGCAGCUUUCGGAGGAGAAAUGCUGUCAAGGUGGGGAAGGUGGAGACGAGCUGUCGGAGCAGCUGUCAGAGCGUCGGCGCAUGGUGGCUCAGCUGAGCGAGGAACUGCGCGAGGCGAACCUGGAGGCGCUUGCGUUGGCCGAUGCCGACCACAAGCAUUGGCUCGAGGCCUCUGGUGGCUUUUUCAAUCGACCUGGGAGCACGCGCAAGAUUGUUGGCUCCCCGCGGCAGCUGGAAAAUGCAGUGCCCACAAGCAAGAAUCCCAAUGGUGUCUGGGUCUGACUCAAGCCUGCAGCAGUGCCAACAGCACUGUUGCACUCUCAACUAGGACAAAAUGUGUGAUCCUGGAAGCCAAGCCAAACAUGGAGGCAGCAUUGCAGUGAAAAUGGUGCUAACUGACUGCUGUGUUCACCUUGUGUGAGCCUUGUUGUGGACAUUGCCUGCUUUGGUUGUUUAUCCAUGGUGGGACCAAACCUUCAUCAUGCUGAUUGCACUAUGGAUUGUGUUGGAGCACAAACUUCUCUGAGCAUGUCAGGUUGACUCUGUUUUUUCACUCGCCAUAGGCAACAGUCAAACCUGUAAAUUUGUUUUGCUUUUACUUAGGACACAAGCAUCUGUGUGAUGUGUGCAAUGGUGUGGCGCAGAUUGUUUUAAAGCAGUCUGUGAUAGAACUGCUUUUGAAAAAGUGUUGCUGCAUCAUCCUCAAGUACGGCCUUGGAACGACAGUGGCAACACAAAUCUGGUCAUAACCACAAACUUGUGGACUCCUAUGGUCUUCCAAGCAUUGCUGACAUGGUUUCGAGGACCACUGCACAUAAGAUUGUGCAUGGCAAGGAUCUGCAGGAGCUGAGAUAUCGCCACAAACUAAUGCUCAAGCCAGUGUUGACCAACCUUUUAUUGUUCCAAGUGUUUGUCGUAUUUGAUGCCUCUUAUUUUUUUUGGCCACCUGGAGCCUUUGUAUAGCAGCUCUGAGUGAUAUCUACAAAUUGUGGCAGCCAAGGGUAUUUAAUAUUGGCAAGUGCUAAUGUUCUAAAUUGCAAAAAUGUGGAUAGUGACGCUGAGUGAGCAAGUCCACAGACAAACGUCAUUGUAAUUCCAAGUCUCUUUUCUCUUUCUCAAGUGUUGAAUUUUACUACAUCUUGCUUUUUGAUGCACUUAUUCCAGCCACUCACUCGUGGACAGUCAACUUCCGUUAAUUCGAGCCAGACGGUGCCAACAAAACUGAUCAAAUUAUUUGGCAGGUCUAAUUAAACAGUAUGUAAAAAACAAACAUCACAUUUGUCCGAUUCUAACAUGCCCACUUUCUAUGUGUCUAAAGUAGAAAACUAGCGUAGGAAUGACAUCACAGCUUCUAAACCAAGUAGAAAUCUAAUGCACACCCAAUUGCCUGCCAAGAAAAAUGGACAAGGGUCUAACAUGGGUUGUACAAUCUCGGCCGGUUUCAUAAAAUUAGCUUUGCUGCGCAGUUUUUAAGGUCACCAGCGUUAAAUGGUAAAGCACAAAUGUCACAAAGGCAGUUUGGUUUCAAAUACGCUGUCACAGUGCUGGCAAUUUUCGGCCCAAUUUGGGAAAAAAUAAAGCCACAUUAGAAUUAGGUGCUGCAAUCAGACGUUUGAGAGGUUUAGCUUGUCCGGUAAUCGGGUAAACGCGAGCAGACCGGGCGUUGGGGCCGGAACUGUUAACGUGAGCGGCCUGUAUGGUGCUACCACCUGGUGGCGCAGAAAUCAAACACAAAAAACAGCUAAUAUUGCAGUAAACAUGUGUAUUCUACUUCUCUGCCGGUGUAAAUUUUCGCUGUCACAUUUACACUAGCAGCAGAGUAGAAUACACUUGGUUACUGCAAUAUUAGCUGUUUUUUGUCUGUUUGAUUUCUGCGCCACCAGGUGGUAGCACCAUACAGGCCGCUCACGUUUACGGUUCCGGCAAAACGCCCCAACGCCCGGUCCGCUCGCGUUUACCCGAUUACCGGACAAGCUAAACCUCUCUACUGUCAGCUACGGCUAUUGCUUGGAAAUUAUCCAGCAAAGGCCAGUUUUAGGAUUGAAAUAACGAAAGUUUGGGCCCACAGAAAUGCAUGGGCACCAGCCAGGACCUUUGGUCAGGAUCAAAUUGAUGGAAGUCUACUGUAAUGCCGUGGCCACGAGGGCACAGGAAGGAAAACUGAGUUGUGGUUUUUGAAAAGAAUGAAGUUCGUAUCAGAAGUCGGAGCAUUUGCUAUUUGUUGUAUAAUGCACUUUUAUUGUUCAGCACUGUAAAAUUUAAAUUAUGAGAAAUAUCAUUCUUCAUGGAUGCAGAUACAGAAUGGGCACCAAUUUAACAUAAAGGAGAGGACAAAAGGGUGCGGGGGUAAAAGUCUGUCACGGCAGUCAUGCGUGCUAACGAUUAGUAAUGCGGCUGUAUUUGUCAGUUUUGCUAAAGUAAGAUUGCAUGUGGGCGAUGAUUGACUGCAACGAGUGACUGCGCAGCGGGCAUGCAUCAGCUCCUGCUAUUAUGUUGGAUCUGCCGCAAAGCCUCCUCACCUGAACUUGCUGCAUUUUUGAGCAUGCAUUGUAUUCGGAGCAUGUUGGUGCAUGCGAGAGGUUCAAUAAAAAGAGAGUUGGA
This is a long non-coding RNA of Dermacentor silvarum, 2602 nucleotides long. RefSeq lists it as uncharacterized. The transcript is spliced from 2 exons. NCBI's taxonomy places the organism in Eukaryota, Metazoa, Arthropoda, Arachnida, Ixodida, Ixodidae. The record is from RefSeq and is a predicted model, not a curated record.